GACGGAGGAUGCAAGUGUUAUCCGGAAUCACUGGGCGUAAAGCGUCUGUAGGUGGUUUAAAAAGUCCACUGUUAAAAAUUGAAGCUUAACUUCAAAGAUGCCGUGGAAACUUUUAAACUUGAGUAUGAUAGGGGUAGAGGGAAUUUCCAGUGGAGCGGUGAAAUGCGUAGAUAUUGGAAAGACCACCAAUGGCGAAAGCACUCUGCUGGGCCGACACUGACACUGAGAGACGAAAGCUAGGGGAGCGAAUGGG
RNAcentral lists this ribosomal RNA (253 nucleotides) under uncultured bacterium. RNAcentral describes it as "partial 16S ribosomal RNA". It matches the Rfam family "Bacterial small subunit ribosomal RNA", at positions 524 to 776 of the family's 1533-position model. The record is from RNAcentral.